This is an unclassified non-coding RNA of Macaca mulatta (Rhesus monkey), 148 nucleotides long. It matches the Rfam family "Metazoan signal recognition particle RNA". From Rfam's summary of the family: The signal recognition particle (SRP) is a universally conserved ribonucleoprotein. It is involved in the co-translational targeting of proteins to membranes. The record is from Ensembl. Lineage: Eukaryota; Metazoa; Chordata; Mammalia; Primates; Cercopithecidae.
GCCGGGCAUGGUGGCGCAUGCCUGUAGUCCCAGCUGCUUGGGAGGCUGAGGCAGGAGAAUCGCUUGAACCCAGGAGGCGCAGGUUGCAGCGAGCCGAGAUUGUGCCACUGCACUCCAGCCUGGGUGACAGAGCAAGACUCCGUCUCAA